RNAcentral lists this ribosomal RNA (1359 nucleotides) under uncultured bacterium. RNAcentral describes it as "bacterial SSU rRNA". It matches the Rfam family "Bacterial small subunit ribosomal RNA", at positions 28 to 1381 of the family's 1533-position model. The record is from RNAcentral.
AUUGAACGCUGGCGGCAUGCCUUACACAUGCAAGUCGAACGGCAGCACGGACUUCGGUCUGGUGGCGAGUGGCGAACGGGUGAGUAAUGUAUCGGAACGUACCUUUCAGUGGGGGAUAACGUAGCGAAAGUUACGCUAAUACCGCAUAUUCUGUGAGCAGGAAAGCAGGGGAUCGCAAGACCUUGCGCUGAUUGAGCGGCCGAUAUCAGAUUAGCUAGUUGGUGGGGUAAAGGCCUACCAAGGCUACGAUCUGUAGCGGGUCUGAGAGGAUGAUCCGCCACACUGGAACUGAGACACGGUCCAGACUCCUACGGGAGGCAGCAGUGGGGAAUUUUGGACAAUGGGGGCAACCCUGAUCCAGCCAUGCCGCGUGAGUGAAGAAGGCCUUCGGGUUGUAAAGCUCUUUCGGCCGGGAAGAAAUCGCAUCAGCUAAUACCUGGUGUGGAUGACGGUACCGGAAUAAGAAGCACCGGCUAACUACGUGCCAGCAGCCGCGGUAAUACGUAGGGUGCGAGCGUUAAUCGGAAUUACUGGGCGUAAAGCGUGCGCAGGCGGUUGUGUAAGACAGGCGUGAAAUCCCCGGGCUCAACCUGGGAACUGCGCUUGUGACUGCACAGCUAGAGUACGGCAGAGGGGGGUGGAAUUCCACGUGUAGCAGUGAAAUGCGUAGAGAUGUGGAGGAACACCGAUGGCGAAGGCAGCCCCCUGGGCCGAUACAGACGCUCAUGCACGAAAGCGUGGGUAGCAAACAGGAUUAGAUACCCUGGUAGUCCACGCCCUAAACGAUGUCAACUAGGUGUUGGGUGGGUAAAACCAUUUAGUACCGUAGCUAACGCGUGAAGUUGACCGCCUGGGGAGUACGGCCGCAAGGUUAAAACUCAAAGGAAUUGACGGGGACCCGCACAAGCGGUGGAUGAUGUGGAUUAAUUCGAUGCAACGCGAAAAACCUUACCUACCCUUGACAUGUCCAGAAGCCCGGAGAGAUUUGGGUGUGCCCGAAAGGGAACUGGAACACAGGUGCUGCAUGGCUGUCGUCAGCUCGUGUCGUGAGAUGUUGGGUUAAGUCCCGCAACGAGCGCAACCCUUGUCGUUAAUUGCCAUCAUUUAGUUGGGCACUUUAACGAGACUGCCGGUGACAAACCGGAGGAAGGUGGGGAUGACGUCAAGUCCUCAUGGCCCUUAUGGGUAGGGCUUCACACGUCAUACAAUGGUCGGUACAGAGGGUUGCCAAGCCGCGAGGUGGAGCCAAUCCCAGAAAGCCGAUCGUAGUCCGGAUUGCAGGCUGCAACUCGCCUGCAUGAAGUCGGAAUCGCUAGUAAUCGCGGAUCAGCAUGUCGCGGUGAAUACGUUCCCGGGUCU